AUUGAACGCUGGCGGCAUGCUUUACACAUGCAAGUCGAACGGCAGCGCGGGCUUCGGCCUGGCGGCGAGUGGCGAACGGGUGAGUAAUGCAUCGGAACGUGCCCAGUAGUGGGGGAUAGCCCGGCGAAAGCCGGAUUAAUACCGCAUACGACCUGAGGGUGAAAGCGGGGGACCGAAAGGCCUCGCGCUAUUGGAGCGGCCGAGGCCGGAUUAGCUAGUUGGUGGGGUAAAGGCUUCCCAAGGCGACGAUCCGUAGCUGGUCUGAGAGGACGACCAGCCACACUGGGACUGAGACACGGCCCAGACUCCUACGGGAGGCAGCAGUGGGGAAUGUUGGACAAUGGGGGCAACCCUGAUCCAGCGAUGCGGCGUGCGGGAAGAAGGCCUUCGGGUUGUAAACAGCUUUUGUGCGGGAAGAAAUCCUCUGGGCUAAUACCCCGGGGGGAUGACGGUACCGGAAGAAUAAGCACCGGCUAACUACGUG
Molecule: ribosomal RNA, 484 nt
Filed under: uncultured bacterium
Lineage: Bacteria
Description: partial 16S ribosomal RNA
Rfam family: Bacterial small subunit ribosomal RNA
Source: RNAcentral